GAGCCAUAUGGCAUAGUGGUUAAAUGCUUGCACUGCCAUUCACAUGGUCAGGAGUUCGAGCCCCCUGUGGGUCA
This 74-nucleotide transfer RNA is filed under the name Sphaerodactylus townsendi. Its description in RNAcentral is "tRNA-Gly". The record is from RNAcentral. Lineage: Eukaryota; Metazoa; Chordata; Lepidosauria; Squamata; Sphaerodactylidae.